This 391-nucleotide ribosomal RNA is filed under the name Leptoneta kwangreungensis. RNAcentral describes it as "partial large subunit ribosomal RNA". The record is from RNAcentral. Lineage: Eukaryota; Metazoa; Arthropoda; Arachnida; Araneae; Leptonetidae.
UAGCCGCACAAUUCUGUGCUAAGGCCGGUAAUCAUUUGUCUUCUAAUUAAAGACUAGAAUGAAAGGUUAAAUGGAUAAAACAUUUUAAUAAUAUAAUAAAAUUAAAUUAAAUUUAUUGUAAGAAUACUAUAAUAAUAUAAAAAGACGACAAGACCCUAAUGAACUUAACUUAUGUUAUACUGGGGAAGUACUUUAAUAAAAAUUUUAAAACCUAAUAUAAAAUAUUAUCUUUUAAAAAAAUACAAAAGUUACCAUACGGAUAACGGCGCACUUUAUUUUUAAAGUUCUUAUUAAGAAAUAAAAUUACCACCUCGAUGUUGAAUUAAUAUAUCAAGGAAAUGCAAAAUUUUACUAGAAAGUCUGUUCGACUUUUAUAAAAUUACAUGAUCUG